GAUGGGCGUGCGGCUGAUUAGGUAGUUGGCGGGGUAACAGCCCACCAAGCCUACGAUCAGUAACUGGUGUGAGAGCACGACCAGUCACACGGGCACUGAGACACGGGCCCGACUCCUACGGGAGGCAGCAGUAAGGAAUAUUGGUCAAUGGACGCAAGUCUGAACCAGCCAUGCCGCGUGGAGGAUGAAGGUCCUCUGGAUUGUAAACUUCUUUUAUCGGAGAAGAAACCCCAAUUUUCUUGUUGGGUUGACGGUACCCGAUGAAUAAGCACCGGCUAACUCCGUGCCAGCAGCCGCGGUAAUACGGAGGGUGCAAGCGUUAUCCGGAUUCACUGGGUUUAAAGGGUGCGUAGGUGGGAUGGUAAGUCAGUGGUGAAAUCUCCAAGCUUAACUUGGAAACUGCCGUUGAUACUAUCAUUCUUGAAUCUCGUGGAGGUAAGCGGAAUAUGUCAUGUAGCGGUGAAAUGCUUAGAUAUGACAUAG
This 483-nucleotide ribosomal RNA is filed under the name uncultured Bacteroidota bacterium. RNAcentral describes it as "bacterial SSU rRNA". It matches the Rfam family "Bacterial small subunit ribosomal RNA", at positions 224 to 704 of the family's 1533-position model. The record is from RNAcentral. Lineage: Bacteria; Pseudomonadati; Bacteroidota.